CUAGGAUUUGUGUGCACCACGUAUUAUGGGGAUUUAUAAAACUGUCACACACAACAGCCUAGUAUGUUUUCAUUGAUUAAACUGUGCCAUAUUAUAUUUGUGCUUUGUGAACGAGCGCUAGAACCCUGCCGGGAAAACGCCUUUGUUCUCAUUUUAUGAAAUGGUUACGUUCUGCCAUACCACAGGGCAGAAGGCGAGACUGAGAAGCCAAGGAGAAUGCAGACCUCUACCUGGCCCCAAAGUGGACCGGAUCGAUCAGUCACUGGACAAUCCUCAAGUCCCCAAGUCACCAGUGGUCAGCUGAGUGGGAAUCCAAGCACCUAUUCUCAUCAAUAUGGGCCGGUCAGACCAUCUGUGGCGUAUACACUAGGUAGGGAAGUCGGACCAGCGGUCCCAUAUACUCAAGGUGGUGAAUGUCUACCACAAUGCAGCCAAGUAACCAGUGUAGGUUACUGGAGUGGACAGACCCAGAAUAAACAGGCACCCACAAAAGAGCAGGCCCUAAUGGCCACUAGUCCCCUUUUGACAUCACUCUUGACUAACAAUGCGGCUGCACAAUCAACUGGUGUUACAUCACAAAGUGGAUACCAUCACACCCUGCCCGGAAGGGUUAACGAUGCAUUUCAACCCACUUUUCAGCAGGGACAUGGGUCUUUGGGUGGUAAUAGUAACAAUUCACAGAGGUUGGUACAGGAUGGUGAGAGUGCAACCAUUCACUGCCCCUCUGAUAUUAAUGCAUCACUGAAUACAAAUUGUAUUUAUCUCCAAAGCCCAGCAAGUGGCAGUCAGCAGCUGGUACUUGGCAGACAAGAGGGGGCCUCCAGUGGUACCUCUGCUGCUCUUGGCAUGGGUAGGAGUCCCAAUCAUGUCAAUCAUCAAUGGACUGUAGCAAGUGGAAAGGAUUCAAGUAGGAUGGCAGUUCAAGCGCCUCAUCAGGGGUAUCCACAAUCACCAAACUCUUUGCAAAGUGCACAGGAGACAAGUAGCGUGCCAUCAAAGACAUCUCCACUGUCUCCCACAGCAUAUAAACAAUUGUUGUAUUUGGUUCUAAAUCAAAACAAUAACAACAGGACUGAGAUGAACAGGGUUCAACAUGGCACACCUGUCCAAACUGACCCAUCAAACCACAGUCAAAUGUAUCCCUUCCAACCUCUCACGGACAGCAACAACCAGGUCAAUCUAUCAAAUGCUACAGUGGGGCAGUCAAUGCCAAUACAUAACAUUAGCCAGAAUCCUCAAUACAAUGUAAUGCAUAACCCUUUUCUUAAUAAUUUUCAAAGAUAUCGCCCUGCAGGCCUUACCAACCCACCACAACAGAACAGACUUGCGUCAAAUUGUGCAAAUAUGAACAGUCAGACAGGGGCCAUUGAAAAUAAUGCACACCAUGCCCCAUAUCCUAGGCCCCAUUUCGAAGGCGUAUCUAACCUACAUUACAAGGCAGACGGCACAUAUUUUCUGGUAUCCAACACUGGACCAUCGUCAUCUGUGUCAAACAAUAGUAUACAGUCUUCAGUCAAGCACACCCGUGAGUCCGCUCCUCCACCAUACCCAGGCCAGCACUCCCAUGGACCCGUGCUGAACAAGACGGGACAUGUGGUUGGGUCAGGAGCACAUUCUCUGCAAUACAUACCAAACCAAGGCUCAGCCCAUACCCUACGUAACAAGCCAAAACAUUUUCUGAUAUCCAACACUGGACCAUCUUCAUCUGUGCUAAACCAUGGUAUGCCGUUUUCAGGCCAGCAAAACUGUGAGUCUGUGCCUCCGUCAUACCCCAUAAGACAGGGCUAUUACGUAACGGUAACAGAGGACAAAAGUGGAAAAGGAUUUAGAGCAGAAAAUGUUAUUUUGAUAGGAGAUAAACCUAAUGAAAGUGCUCUGGUACGGCAAGGAUCAUCUGCAAGUAAUGCCCCCUCUGUUCCUACGGUGCAGAAGGCCAUCGCCGUUGUACAACCACUGUCGCAGUCUAUGCAGACAAACGCAUCACUCAACGUGGCUGAUAGAAUGCCCUUGACUACCCAAGGUAUGUCAUUCUCAACUGGUGGUGAAAAUGUGAGCAACCCUGGGGAAGAAUCUUGUGACCAAAGUCCAUCACAAACCCAAACAACCCUUACUGUAUCUGCUUCUUUGACAAAUGAAUCUGGACAAAAGCUCCCCAAGGUCAGACCAGAAGCUACAUUAGAAGCAGGUGCUGAAAAAACACUGACUCAGGAUUCAGAAACUUCCGAUGUUGAACUGGCCAAGACAUAUUCAUAUUUUGAGUCUGAAUGGUCACUAUCAAACUGCUUACAUGUAGAGAAAGUGGAUUCUCAACCAUUAUCUAAUUUGAAAUGUCAAGCCACUCAGAGGAAAGAGUUAGCGGGCACAGAAAUGACCACUCAUGUGCAUGUUAACCAAUUGAGUGAGGAAACAAAUGAAGAAGUAGUUUCAGAUGAGGACAUUUUUGAAUUGUCCUCAGUUCCUGUAGUCAAAUGGAGACUUGGUAAAUUGAAGGAGUUGGUAGACACUGUGCAACAUCCAAAAUGCUCUGAGACACUGGUUGAAAGCAAGCUACUAAGCCUCUAUUGGGAUGGAGAUGGGCAGAAGCUUAUGGAUGCUGCAAGAUCUGGUAUUUUACAGAAUAUAAUGCGAGAGGUUAGAUCUGUGUGUGGCAAAGAUAUGUCAUCACAGUCUGUCAUAUUUUCACAAGUCAGGCGCAAAAACUGGGCUCAAGUUGAAGAGAAAUGUGUCAUUCUUAAACAUGAUUCUGUUUACCCCGAGGUCCCAGGUCAAGAGUCCUCAUGGUUGAACACCAAUAAGCAGCUUGAUGACAUAGACAGGGAGUUUGGAUUCCCAUGGUCACUAAGAUAUGACCAACAGACUCUUCAAAGAGGAGUUGAACAACCAAAACGGAAUUUUACCGGAAAUGAAGAUUCUGCAGACUCUGUCUGUGACAUGCAGACUGAGGUGAUUCAGACAGAGAGACCAGCACCCUCUGAAUCUGAUCCUAAAGAAAUCCAAGGGUCAAGUUUGGCACACAGCUCUACACAGACCCUCUCACCAGUUAAAGAAAGUGAAAGCAUCAUUUUUUGUGACCCAUUUUCCUCCCUGGAGAUCAACGUGCUGCCACCAGAAGAGGCUAUGCGGUUUUUCAAUGGCCAGCUACUGCAAGACAAAGUGGGAGAAGACCAGUUGAAAUUGCCAGUGGAUGUGGAGCUGAAUGAGUUGAAAGAUUACUCCGUGGAGGAUAAAUCAUCUGAGGGAGUAGAUGUAAAGUUGACAACUGUAAAAUACGAAGUGGAUGUCCAAUCGGAAGAUUACUGUUGUCUCUCACGUUGGAAGGCAGUGUUCAGUGGGUCCACCAAUUCUUUGUCCUGCAAAUGCCAGUACAAUACUGAAUUGGGUUUGACAAAGGCCACUGUGAAUGCAAAGAUGUUUGUCGAGGGAACUUUGGCUGUUGAACCGAGCACAACAAAUGCAGAACAAAGGGAAAGCCUGCAUUUAUGUAAAUCCAAUGGCACAGCAGAAGGAAAGAGGGAAGGGAAUGGGAAUCCCCAAUCAUGGAAAUCUACAGGCAUUGAAUGCCAAACUAUUGUCUUGUCUGAUAGUGAAUCUGAGACUGAUCGCCCAUACACUAAUGGGGCGAAGAGCUUGCCAUUGUCAAAACCCCACUCACUGUGCCUGCCCAUCAAGUGCCCAAACAUUGUUGAAGUUGAAAUUGAAGAUGUCUUCUCGAGCUAUGAAGACUUUCUCAAGGUAUCCACCCCAAUGUCCAAGCUAGUGUGCGACAAUGUACAGCCAAAGCAGAAACUACCAGGUCCACUCCAGAAACAAAUGGAACGUGUACAAGCACUUAGUGUCACUUUGGAAGAAAGAAACCUUGGGGGUAGUGAAGUCAUUCCUACAGUUCACAUUCCUACUUCUAAUCUGCUACGCCAACCAGCAGAGAAAAUCAGUUUUCUAACAUCACUCUCCUUGGCACAAAGAUGUCACAAGCAUCUAUCUCCUAAAAUAAAUCGUACCUACAAGGUUAAACAUAAAGGGGUUGGACACAAGAGAUGUGUUGAAGGUCCUCAUUCAAAAUUGUCUGUCCCAAGAAAGCGAAGGAAAAUAAGGGAAGGUUUGGGUCCCUUCAUUCAACUUGUUCCUGAGGUCAACUUGACUGACACAGAUGACGAUUUCGAGCCACCCAAUACAAGUACUUCUAACUCUUUGGAAGUAGAGCGGCCUUCAAACGGUCGCAAUCUCCAGAAGCCAGCAGAACCUGGAAUUAGGACUAAGAUUUCAAGGGUCACCACAGUAAGUCUGGCCUUGUUUGGUUCCUCGCCCCAGAGGACAAAUGGGACUGUAGUAACUGGCCAACGCAAGGACCAUAAUUCUUCUCGACCUAGACCUUUUGCAGACAAAGCUCCAGCACCUCCUCUAACCCUCAGUGUGAAUGUCAAGUCCUGGAAGAUAGAGCCCUCCGAGACCAGCCCGCCAGUGGAAAGCCCAGUCAGACAACGGCUCUUCAACGAGUGGGAGAACAGUUUUGUGCCGACAAAGAAGACAAAGUCCAGGGGCAGAGCAUCAAGACUACGAAGCAGAAGAGGGUUUGCUCCGAAGAUUGUUUGUGCUGAAUUUGCCAAAAAGACUGUUACCUCGACCAGGACAGAUGGUAAUGCAUUAUCCUCUGAAAGACGAGCCACACCAGAAAGAACCAUAAGGGCCAAGCGGACUUUGCGGCACAUUGAAAGAGAGAGAAUCUUAAAUGGCCUGAAACUCAGACUGAAGAAAUCUAGGAUCAAGGCGGUGCCAUCCAGCAAACCUGAUACAGUGGAAAAAAGUACAAAUAAGAUCAGGAGCCCUGCUCUUUUGCCUCUUGAGGAGAACAGUGUUCUGAGGUUCAGUGUGCUGCCAGAGUCGUUCAACUUCAAAGAUGGACAAGAACCCAUGGACACUCGGACACAGACUGGUUCAAUGAAGGAAAUGGCUGGUGCUGGUGCUGUUGCUGUUGCUACGACGACUGAGAGUCCUAAAACAAUAGUCCGGAAAUCCCAAGUAGGUUUAUGGUCUGCUUGCCCUCAGAAGAGAUAUUGUCCUCUCACCUCUUCGACCACUAAAGUCCCCAAGUCUUCCUCCACUGCCUUCCAGGAGUUUCAGAGGAAAUUCAAGCGGCUAUCCCAAGACUAGUUUGUAUUGCCUCCAGUUAUGGAAUGGAGGAGUGGAGUGAGGACUGUUGACAAUCUGAUUCUUGUAACUUGUUUCCCAUGGAAAUAUAGUCUGUGUACAAUUUCGUUUUUUUGUUUGUUUAUGACAACCUUUUUCAUAACAUAAUUUUGUUAUUUUGGAAUGCAGAAAUUGACCUUAUUGUGGUAAGGUUGGGCAGUUCAUAAUGUUUUUUAUUUUUCUUUAUUGUAGUUAUUGUUUACAUUCUUAAAUGACUGAGCCAAUAUAUCUGACAGUAUCCUCCUCUACCUCAGGCCUGACGGUCAACAUUGCGAGACUUUGUCAUUAAAAAACAUUAACCAAAGUGUUGUGGCCCAUUGGAUGGCUAUUUUCUUUUCACUGUCAUUUCAGACUUUAAAAAAAAAAGUUUGGGGUUAACAAUAUUUUAUGCAAACCUCAUGUUUAUUGUUUGCAUGGAUUACAGAAUUCGCACUAUGCAAAGUGUACUGCAGUUUGUUUGAAUUUGUAGGCUACAUAAUUUCACUUCUUGACUCUUACCUUCUACACUCUCAUACCUUAUCAAUAGUUACCUUCUCAAUAGUUAUUUUGCUGGAGUUUAAAAUGUUUCCUUUUGUUGCCACAGGAUGAACAGUACCGUAUGGUUCAAGAUGCUGUGACAGCUUAAACAAUGCUGCACUGCAGUAGUUAGACCUUUGUAUUCUGGUUCUGUAUUUUAGUAUUAAACUUUUAUAGUUAUUCGUAGUUAUAGAUUCAAAUUUGUGACAGACAAAAACUGAACGUGUGACAGACAAAAACAAUCAACACUGACAGGAAACGUGUGUCAUUAGUAACCUGGUGCAUUAACGUAUAUUUUUUAAAACUUUUUAUUUUUUUUACCUAGUGUUAUUUCUUUAAUAUGUUGGUUUAUUUUAUUUGUUUCUAAAUAAAUAUUUUACAUACUUACAUUGAUAUUUAUCUCUAGAGCAUCCUUCACUUGGAUUUUCUUGUUGACUUUAGAGGGUACUUGCAGGCUGGGUACAUUCUAUUGCCAGAGCCAGAUGAGUCUAUUGGUUAGGUGUGAAUGCUAAUCCAGAGCAAUUAGCACUAGUCUGUGACACUGUUGGGUGUCAAUUGCUUAGGCUCCCAGAGUUGUUCUGGAUUGCAAACAAAAGUUGUUCUCACAUGAGACCCUUUGAAUUCUUAGGAUGUUUUUUUGAUGGCCUCUUUCAAACCACUUUUAUAUUACACCUCCACCUUUGUUCAGACACUCAGAAUGUGGAGGUCGUUGCAGAAUGUCCACAACGCUCAGGUGACAACGCAAUGUCUCAACCAUUAGGGGUUUGUACCCAUUUUUUUCACAAUUCCUGACAUUUAAUCCAAGUAAAAAUUCAGUGUUUAGGUACAUGACUACAUUAGCAAAUGCCCAUGACUACAUUUGUUACAUCUGGACAUACAAAUGGAGACAGGAUGGUAACAAAAUGACCAAUACAUGAAACAUGUAUACAAUAAAUGUAUAAUUUUUGUAUUACAUAAACGGUCCUGCCACCAUUAUAAUUUAACUCUAAGCAGAUGUGGGCGUUAAUGGGCGUGAACAAGCAAGACCAGGCACUAAAAGAGAAGGAUGGCGAAAGGACAAGGGGAGUUAUUCCAUUUGCAUGUGGGGUGUACCCAUAUGCGUUAUGUAAGGAUGUAAUGCUAUAAAGGCAAAGCUCUGUGCUGAGAAAGACUGUUGUUCCAUGGAAUAGCACGACUUUGCUAUUUUGUAAUAAAGUCUAAUUUGAAUUCACAAGUUCCAGUAAAGGUGUAAUAUUUCUGAGUCAAUAUUCCACAACAAUAUCAAUAAAUAUCUGUUCAUUUAACUUAGACUUGGAGUCCUUAGUGGUAGUUUCGACAAGUAUGUAAACAUUAAAUUGACCAGUACAUACAGUGAGGGGGAAAAGGUAUUUGAUCCCCUGCUGAUUUUGUACGUUUGCCCACUGACAAAGAAAUGAUCAGUCUAAAAUUUUAAUGGUAGGUUUAUUUGAACAGUGAGAGACAGAAUAACAACAACAAAAAUCCAGAAAAACAUGUCAAAAAUGUUAUAAAUUGAUUUGCAUUUUAAUGAGAGAAAUAAGUAGCACAGCUGCUUCCUGCCACAGACCAAGCAACAGGAUACAGUAUAUCUAUGUACUAGACAGCAGACAGAAACAGCAGAAACACACAGCUCUAAUCGAAUACUCCCAGAUGGCAUAUUCUCAAUGCAAUUAUUCAGUUUGCAUCUCAGCUACAGAUCACUCCUCAUCAAUUCACUACAGAUCAGACUGGAUGGGAAACAAAUGGAUUUACACAACCCACACUGUUACAGCCCUGCUACACUGUUUGUAUGGCAGAGAGACUCAAUGCAUGCAAGAAUACAGACCUGAUAAUACUGUAGAACACAUUUUGCAUAUCAAAUAUUUAUUUAUUUUAUUACUAUUUGGCAUUGCUUUUGUUUAGCCCAUUUAUUUUUAUAGGGGUAGGCUUUACCAUGACUGUUUGUAAUUUUGGAAAAACGUAAUAAAAAAAUGGAAAAGAACAGAUAAUUG
RNAcentral lists this long non-coding RNA (7688 nucleotides) under Salmo salar (Atlantic salmon). RNAcentral describes it as "lncRNA (ENSSSAG00000114941.1)". Lineage: Eukaryota; Metazoa; Chordata; Actinopteri; Salmoniformes; Salmonidae. The record is from RNAcentral.